CCACUUCCCCCUUUCCCUCGCUCUCUCUCUUCUCCUCGCGUGAAACCGCUGCUGCCGUCGCCAUGGCCGCGACCACCGUGCUCCCCGCGCCGCGAGAAGACGCCCAGAAGGACUGCCACGGUCCACUUCGUCCAUCCCGAGGACCGAAUCGAGCGGGGAAGGCCCGUACACUCGCCAUCGCCACCAUCUUCAUCUUGUACAUCGCCGCGGCCUCGACGUCGAUCCGCAUCACCUCGUCCAUCCCGGCCUCGUACGAGCUCACCACCGACCUCCUCUCGAUGACGGAGUCCAGGAGCCAGAUGAGACCUUUGACUACUGCUACUACACCGAGGGCGUCUACUACCACGUGACGAAGACCGCCGAUGACCAGGAGUAGUUAGGAGGCUCCCAGGCAGGAGGCCUUGCCUUUUCGAUCGUAGAUGCUUUUGUGCUAGCCUUCUUAAGGCAAACUUGUUUAACUUAUGUCUGUACUCAGAUAUUGUUGCUUCCGCUGACUCGUUUGUAUUCAAGCUGAUGUAUUCGAGCCCUCGAGGCCCCUGGCUUGUAAUAUAAAGCUUGUAUUAUUUUAAUUUGUGUCUAG
RNAcentral lists this ribosomal RNA (580 nucleotides) under Triticum aestivum (bread wheat). RNAcentral describes it as "partial small subunit ribosomal RNA". Lineage: Eukaryota; Viridiplantae; Streptophyta; Magnoliopsida; Poales; Poaceae. The record is from RNAcentral.